CAGAAAAAAAUUAUGAGACUUUGGCCUUGGAAGUCUCAUAGUGAGUGCCUGUCAUGUUAUAACAGGGCAAAAACUGGCUGCUCUCCUCUACAUUCGGUGGCCUUGGGAACACCAAAGAUGUGGCCUUGGCAACACUUGCACAUCGAGGUCAAGAGGCCAGGAAGAGCAUCCUGCCUUCUAAAUCCUUUGAAGUUUACUCGAAAUUCUCAUCCUGAACUGGACUUUUGGACUCAACAACAAAAGAUGCAUAUUAUGAAGAACAAAUAA
This is a long non-coding RNA of Pan paniscus (pygmy chimpanzee), 267 nucleotides long. Lineage: Eukaryota; Metazoa; Chordata; Mammalia; Primates; Hominidae. The record is from Ensembl.